RNAcentral lists this ribosomal RNA (468 nucleotides) under uncultured bacterium. RNAcentral's name for it is "partial 16S ribosomal RNA". It matches the Rfam family "Bacterial small subunit ribosomal RNA", at positions 28 to 507 of the family's 1533-position model. The record is from RNAcentral.
GACGAACGCUGGCGGCGUGCUUAACACAUGCAAGUCGAACGGAAAGGCCCUGCUUUUGUGGGGUGCUCGAGUGGCGAACGGGGGAGUAACACGUGUGUAACCUGCCCUUGACUUUGGGAUAACUUCAGGAAACUGGGGUUAAUACAGGAUAGGAGCUCCUGCAGCACGGGGGGGGUUGGAGAGUUUCGGCGGUUGGGGAUGGACUCGCGGCUUAUCAGCUUGUUGGUGGGGUAGUGGCGUACCAAGGCUUUGACGGGUAGCCGGCCUGAGAGGGUGACCGGCCACAUUGGGACUGAGGUACGGCCCAGAGUCCUACGGGAGGCAGCAGUGGGGAAUAUUGCACACUGGGCGGAAGCCUGAUGCAGCAACGCCGCGUGCGGGAUGACGGCCUUCGGGUUGUAAACCGCUUUCGCCUGUGACGAAGCGUGAGUGACGGUAAUGGGUAAAGAAGCACCGGCUAACUACGUG